RNAcentral lists this ribosomal RNA (549 nucleotides) under uncultured bacterium. RNAcentral describes it as "partial 16S ribosomal RNA". It matches the Rfam family "Bacterial small subunit ribosomal RNA", at positions 362 to 917 of the family's 1533-position model. The record is from RNAcentral.
UUUUGCGCAUGGGGGAAAACCCUGNCGCANCAAUGCCGCGUGGGAGGAUGAAGNCCUUUGGGUAUGUAAACUCCUUUCGAUCGGGACAGAUAAUGACGGUACCGGAAGUAAGAAGCCCCGGCUAACUCUGUGCCAGCAGCCGCGGUAAUACANACGGGGCGCAAGCGUUGUUCGGAAUUAUUGGGCGUAAAGGGCGCGUAGGCUGUGCGGUAAGUCUGUAGUGAAAUCUCUGGGCUCAACUCAGAGUCUGCUAUANAAACUGCCGNGCUUGAGUGUGGGAGAGGUAUGUGGAAUUCCCAGGUGUAGCGGUGAAAUGCGUAUUAUAUCGGGAGGAACACCUGUGGCGAAAGCGGCAUACUGGUACCACAACUGACGCUGAGGCNCNAAAGCUANGGGAGCAAACAGGAUUAGAUACCCUGGUAGUCCUANCCCUAAACNAUGGAUGCUUGGNGCAGCAGGUACCCAAUCCUGCNUGUGCCGGAGCUAACGCAUUNANNAUCCCGCCUGGGGAGNNCGGUCGCAAGGCUGAAACUCAAAGAANUUGACGGA